This 240-nucleotide unclassified non-coding RNA is filed under the name Hevea brasiliensis (rubber tree). The record is from RNAcentral. Lineage: Eukaryota; Viridiplantae; Streptophyta; Magnoliopsida; Malpighiales; Euphorbiaceae.
AAAGUAGUCCAGAAGUGUGAAUGCAUCAUAUGAAGACCAAUGCGUGAAUUCCUUAUGAAGCGCUUUCUCCACCAAAAACCUUGCAGUCAAUACCAAAAAUGUAAGCACAGCAAAAGCCAAACCAAUUUUUCCAAUAAUUGUAGCAACACCAUUCAGCUUCACCUGUAGCGGGGUCUCAUCUUCUCCACCUUCAUUCAGAGUUUCCAUCAAUUUUCCCCAUUCAGUCUUCAUACCAACAGC